CCUACGGGGGGCAGCAAUUAGGAAUCUUGCGCAAUGGGGGAAACCCUGACGCAGCGACGCCGCGUGGAGGACGAAGGAUUUCGGUUCGUAAACUCCUUUUAAGUGGGAAGAAAAAAAUGACGGUACCACUUGAAUAAGCCCCGGCUAACUACGUGCCAGCAGCCGCGGUAAUACGUAGGGGGCGAGCGUUGUCCGAAUUUACUGGGCGUAAAGAGCACGUAGGCGGUUAUUUAAGUAGGGGGUGAAAUCCCAGGGCUCAACCGGGAAACUGCCCCCUAAACUGGGGGACUUGAGAGAGGAAGAGGUGAGUGGAAUUCCUGGUGUAAGGGUGAAAUGUGUAGAUAUCGGGAGGAACACCGGUGGCGAAGGCGGCUCCCUGGCCCUUUUCUGACGCUGAGGUGCGAAAGCGUGGGGAGCGAACGGGAUUAGAUACCCCGGUAGU
Molecule: ribosomal RNA, 442 nt
Filed under: uncultured Armatimonadota bacterium
Lineage: Bacteria; Bacillati; Armatimonadota
Description: uncultured Armatimonadetes bacterium partial 16S ribosomal RNA
Rfam family: Bacterial small subunit ribosomal RNA
Source: RNAcentral